GGACAACCUACCCUUCGGUCCGGGAUAAUCCUGGGAAACUGGGGAUAAUACCGGAUGGGCCACAUAUGCUGGAAUGCUCUGUGGCCGAAAGCUUUUGCGCCGAAGGAUGGGUCUGCGGCCUAUCAGGGUAGUAGUGGGUGUAACGUACCUACUAGCCUACGACGGGUACGGGUUGUGAGAGCAAGAGCCCGGAGAUGGAUUCUGAGACACGAAUCCAGGCCCUACGGGGUGCAGCAGGCGCGAAAACUUUACAAUGCGGGAAACCGUGAUAAGGGGAUCUCGAGUGCCAGCAUAUAAUGUUGGCUGUCCAGAUGCCUAAAAAGCAUCUGUUAGCAAGGGCCGGGCAAGACCGGUGCCAGCCGCCGCGGUAACACCGGCGGCCCGAGUGGUAACCGCUAUUAUUGGGUCUAAAGGGUCUGUAGCCGGCCAGGUAAGUCCCUUGGGAAAUCUGGCAGCUCAACUGUCAGGCUGCUAGGGGAUACUGUUUGGCUUGGGACCGGGAGAGGUGAGAGGUACCUUGGGGGUAGGGGUGAAAUCUUGUGAUCCUCCGGGGACCACCAGUGGAACAGGCGUACC
RNAcentral lists this ribosomal RNA (576 nucleotides) under Methanosaeta sp. enrichment culture clone SA4-16. Its description in RNAcentral is "bacterial SSU rRNA". It matches the Rfam family "Archaeal small subunit ribosomal RNA", at positions 102 to 678 of the family's 1478-position model. The record is from RNAcentral. Lineage: Archaea; Methanobacteriati; Methanobacteriota; Methanomicrobia; Methanotrichales; Methanotrichaceae.